RNAcentral lists this ribosomal RNA (465 nucleotides) under uncultured bacterium. RNAcentral describes it as "partial 16S ribosomal RNA". It matches the Rfam family "Bacterial small subunit ribosomal RNA", at positions 28 to 506 of the family's 1533-position model. The record is from RNAcentral.
GACGAACGCUGGCGGCGCGCCUAACACAUGCAAGUCGAACGAGCGAGAGGAGGUUUCCUUUCUCAAGCGAGUGGCGAACGGGUGAGUAACGCGUGAGGAACCUGCCUCAAAGAGGGGGACAACAGUUGGAAACGACUGCUAAUACCGCAUAAGCCCACGACCCGGCAUCGGGUAGAGGGAAAAGGAGCAAUCCGCUUUGAGAUGGCCUCGCGUCCGAUUAGCUAGUUGGUGAGGUAAUGGCCCACCAAGGCGACGAUCGGUAGCCGGACUGAGAGGUUGAACGGCCACAUUGGGACUGAGACGCGGCCCAGACUCCUACGGGAGGCAGCAGUGGGGAAUAUUGCACAAUGGGGGAAACCCUGAUGCAGCGACGCCGCGUGGAGGAAGAAGGUCUUCGGAUUGUAAACUCCUGUUGUUGAGGAAGAUAAUGACGGUACUCAACAAGGAAGUGACGGCUAACUACGU